GAUGAACGCUGGCGGCGUGCCUAAUACAUGCAAGUCGAGCGAACAGACGAGGAGCUUGCUCCUCUGACGUUAGCGGCGGACGGGUGAGUAACACGUGGAUAACCUACCUAUAAGACUGGGAUAACUUCGGGAAACCGGAGCUAAUACCGGAUAAUAUAUUGAACCGCAUGGUUCAAUAGUGAAAGACGGUUUUGCUGUCACUUAUAGAUGGAUCCGUGCCGCAUUAGCUAGUUGGUAAGGUAACGGCUUACCAAGGCAACGAUGCGUAGCCGACCUGAGAGGGUGAUCGGCCACACUGGAACUGAGACACGGUCCAGACUCCUACGGGAGGCAGCAGUAGGGAAUCUUCCGCAAUGGGCGAAAGCCUGACGGAGCAACGCCGCGUGAGUGACGAAGGUCUUCGGAUCGUAAAACUCUGUUAUUAGGGAAGAACAAAUGUGUAAGUAACUAUGCACGUCUUGACGGUACCUAAUCAGAAAGCCACGGCUAACUACGUG
Molecule: ribosomal RNA, 497 nt
Filed under: uncultured bacterium
Lineage: Bacteria
Description: partial 16S ribosomal RNA
Rfam family: Bacterial small subunit ribosomal RNA
Source: RNAcentral